Molecule: ribosomal RNA, 429 nt
Filed under: Verrucomicrobiota bacterium
Lineage: Bacteria; Pseudomonadati; Verrucomicrobiota
Description: Verrucomicrobia bacterium partial 16S ribosomal RNA
Rfam family: Bacterial small subunit ribosomal RNA
Source: RNAcentral
UAGGGAAUCUUCCGCAAUGGACGAAAGUCUGACGGAGCAACGCCGCGUGAGUGAAGAAGGAUUUCGGUUCGUAAAACUCUGUUGUUAGGGAAGAAAAAAUGUAUAGUAACUAUAUACAAAAGAGACGGUACCUAACCAGAAAGCCACGGCUAACUACGUGCCAGCAGCCGCGGUAAUACGUAGGUGGCAAGCGUUGUCCGGAAUUAUUGGGCGUAAAGCGCGCGCAGGUGGUUUAGAAAGUCUGAUGUGAAAGCCCACGGCUCAACCGUGGAGGGUCAUUGGAAACUAAUAAACUUGAGUGCAGGAGAGAAAAGUGGAAUUCCUAGUGUAGCGGUGAAAUGCGUAGAGAUUAGGAGGAACACCGGUGGCGAAAGCGGCUUUUUGGCCUGCAACUGACACUGAGGCGCGGAAGCGUGGGGAGCAAACAGG